RNAcentral lists this ribosomal RNA (497 nucleotides) under uncultured bacterium. RNAcentral describes it as "partial 16S ribosomal RNA". It matches the Rfam family "Bacterial small subunit ribosomal RNA", at positions 28 to 507 of the family's 1533-position model. The record is from RNAcentral.
GAUGAACGCUGGCGGCGUGCCUAAUACAUGCAAGUCGAGCGAACGGACGAGAAGCUUGCUUCUCUGAUGUUAGCGGCGGACGGGUGAGUAACACGUGGAUAACCUACCUAUAAGACUGGGAUAACUUCGGGAAACCGGAGCUAAUACCGGAUAAUAUUUUGAACCGCAUGGUUCAAAAGUGAAAGACGGUCUUGCUGUCACUUAUAGAUGGAUCCGCGCUGCAUUAGCUAGUUGGUAAGGUAACGGCUUACCAAGGCAACGAUGCAUAGCCGACCUGAGAGGGUGAUCGGCCACACUGGAACUGAGACCCGGUCCAGACUCCUACGGGAGGAAGCAGUAGGGAAUCUUCCGCAAUGGGCGAAAGCCUGACGGAGCAACGCCGCGUGAGUGAUGAAGGUCUUCGGAUCGUAAAACUCUGUUAUUAGGGAAGAACAUAUGUGUAAGUAACUGUGCACAUCUUGACGGUACCUAAUCAGAAAGCCACGGCUAACUACGUG